ACAUGCAAGUCGAACGCCAGCGCUGGGAGCAAUCCUGGGCGGCGAGUGGCGAACGGGUGAGUAAUACAUCGGAACGUGUCCUGUAGUGGGGGAUAGCCCGGCGAAAGCCGGAUUAAUACCGCAUACGAUCUACGGAUGAAAGCGGGGGAUCGCAAGACCUCGCGCUAUAGGGGCGGCCGAUGGCGGAUUAGCUAGUUGGUGGGGUAAAGGCCCACCAAGGCGACGAUCCGUAGCUGGUCUGAGAGGACGACCAGCCACACUGGGACUGAGACACGGCCCAGACUCCUACGGGAGGCAGCAGUGGGGAAUUUUGGACAAUGGGCGCAAGCCUGAUCCAGCAAUGCCGCGUGUGUGAAGAAGGCCUUCGGGUUGUAAAGCACUUUUGUCCGGAAAGAAAUCCUCUGGGUUAAUACCCCGGGGGGAUGACGGUACCGGAAGAAUAAGCACCGGCUAACUACGUGCCAGCAGCCGCGGUAAUACGUAGGGUGCGAGCGUUAAUCGGAAUUACUGGGCGUAAAGCGUGCGCAGGCGGUGAUGUAAGACCGAUGUGAAAUCCCCGGGCUUAACCUGGGAACUGCAUUGGUGACUGCAUCGCUGGAGUAUGGCAGAGGGGGGUAGAAUUCCACGUGUAGCAGUGAAAUGCGUAGAGAUGUGGAGGAAUACCGAUGGCGAAGGCAGCCCCCUGGGGCCAUACUGACGCUCAUGCACGAAAGCGUGGGGAGCAAACAGGAUU
Molecule: ribosomal RNA, 733 nt
Filed under: Burkholderia sp. Ms192
Lineage: Bacteria; Pseudomonadati; Pseudomonadota; Betaproteobacteria; Burkholderiales; Burkholderiaceae
Description: bacterial SSU rRNA
Rfam family: Bacterial small subunit ribosomal RNA
Source: RNAcentral